GGAGAUGGAGGGUGGCCGACGGUAGCCGCAAGGCAGCUGAGGAAGUUCCCCUCUCCGAGGGCAAGAUGGACCGGGGCAAUCCGGUACGGCGAGAGCCGUGGCAAGGGCACAGAAACGACACAGAUCCGGCAACAAGGAUGAUCCGCCAGGCGGUGACGCUCCCGGAGAUUUGGUGAAACGGCGACCCCCCAUCGGAGCAAGUCCGCACAACGGGGAAGACCUGCCCGGGACCCGUGGGUAGGACGCAUUAGUUGAAUGCCACCUGAAACAGAAAGGGGGCUACUACCAUCAC
RNAcentral lists this RNase P RNA (292 nucleotides) under human gut metagenome. RNAcentral describes it as "Archaeal RNase P". It matches the Rfam family "Archaeal RNase P". Rfam says of the family: Ribonuclease P (RNase P) is a ubiquitous endoribonuclease, found in archaea, bacteria and eukarya as well as chloroplasts and mitochondria. Its best characterised activity is the generation of mature 5'-ends of tRNAs by cleaving the 5'-leader elements of precursor-tRNAs. Cellular RNase Ps are ribonucleoproteins. The record is from RNAcentral.